This 516-nucleotide long non-coding RNA is filed under the name Phasianus colchicus (ring-necked pheasant). RNAcentral's name for it is "lncRNA (ENSPCLG00000006724.1)". The record is from RNAcentral. Lineage: Eukaryota; Metazoa; Chordata; Aves; Galliformes; Phasianidae.
GGAAAUGGCUCUUUACCCUUAACAAUCUGAGUAGAUAAGGAUCACUAGCUGCCAGAGAACCUGCUUUUCUGAGUAGUGAUGUAAAGCCAGCAGGGCUGGUGACAAGGGCUUGCCUUUCCUAGGCAGGAUUCAUCCCAGGAGAGAGUGGUGCACAGCAGUCAACAGCUCUGGCAGUGCUGCAGCUGAAUAAGCAUGAGCCUGGGGUGCUUCCUAACCUCUGUAGCGAUUUCAGCAAAAAUCUAUGACUUACCAACACCAGGCUUCAGCUUCUCUGUGUGUAAUGACUUCAAACAAUGUGGGUUUGCAGGAGGCUUCAACAAAGCAGAGCUUGCCACUACUCACAGCAGAAUUUCUGUCACCGGCAGAAGUUAUUAUAUUCACACAGGGAAAGACAUUAGCUUAAAGGUUGGUGUUUUUGUUUGUUUGCAAGUCAAGGGUGGAAAUUUUCAAAGCAGCACAACGGACCAAAUUAACUGUCUCCCAUUAAUGGAAUGUGAAGUUGCUGAAAGCAGCUGA